UCCCUGGUGGCUCAGUGGGUAAAGAGCCUGCCUGCAGUGCAGGACAGCCAUGUUCGAUCCCUGGUUUGGGAA
This 72-nucleotide transfer RNA is filed under the name Bos taurus (domestic cattle). It matches the Rfam family "tRNA". Rfam says of the family: Transfer RNA (tRNA) molecules are approximately 80 nucleotides in length. The record is from Rfam by way of RNAcentral. RNAcentral also lists the same sequence under 2 other names. Lineage: Eukaryota; Metazoa; Chordata; Mammalia; Artiodactyla; Bovidae.